Molecule: ribosomal RNA, 23 nt
Filed under: Leishmania tropica
Lineage: Eukaryota; Euglenozoa; Kinetoplastea; Trypanosomatida; Trypanosomatidae
Description: partial 18S ribosomal RNA
Source: RNAcentral
GCAGCGCAGCAGUGUGCUGCGCG